Molecule: ribosomal RNA, 200 nt
Filed under: uncultured bacterium
Lineage: Bacteria
Description: partial 16S ribosomal RNA
Rfam family: Bacterial small subunit ribosomal RNA
Source: RNAcentral
GACAGAGGGUGCAAGCGUUAAUCGGAAUUACUGGGCGUAAAGGGCUCGCAGGUGGUCGGCUAAGUCGGAUGUGAAAUCUCCGGGCUUAACCUGGAACGGUCAUUCGAGACUGGUCGACUAGAGUAUGGUAGAGGAUAGUGGAAUUUCCGGUGUAGCGGUGAAAUGCGUAGAUAUCGGAAGGAACACCAGUGGCGAAGGCG